GACGAACGCUGGCGGCGUGCUUAACACGUGCAAGUCGAACGAUGAAGAAGAGAAACGCGAACUUCGGUUCAAAUUUCACUUCGGAUUAGUGGCAGACGGGUGAGUAACGCGUGAGCAACCUACCUCUUACAAAGGGAUAGCCUCGGGAAACCGUGAUUAAUACCAUAUGACACAUUCAUAAGGCAUCUUAAGAAUGUUAAAGCUACGGCUGUACGGGAUGGGCUCGCGUACCAUUAGCUAGUUGGUGAGGUAACGGCCCACCAAGGCGACGAUGGGUAACCGGCCUGAGAGGGUGAACCCUCACAUUGGAGCUGAGACGCGGUCCAGACUCCUACGGGAGGCAGCAGUGGGGGAUAUUGCACAGUGGAGGGAACUCUGAUGCAGCUACGCCGCGUGAGCGAUGAAGGAAUUCGUUUCGUAAAGCUCUGUUCUAUGUGAAGAAAAGGACUGUACCAUAGGAGAAAGCCCCGGCUAACUACGUG
RNAcentral lists this ribosomal RNA (482 nucleotides) under uncultured bacterium. RNAcentral describes it as "partial 16S ribosomal RNA". It matches the Rfam family "Bacterial small subunit ribosomal RNA", at positions 28 to 507 of the family's 1533-position model. The record is from RNAcentral.